CCUACGGGUGGCAGCAGUGGGGGAUAUUGCACAAUGGGGGAAACCCUGAUGCAGCGACGCCGCGGGGGUGAAGAAGCGCCUCGGCGCGUAAAGCCCUGUCAGCAGGGAAGAAAAUGACGGUACCUGAAGAAGAAGCCCCGGCUAACUACGUGCCAGCAGCCGCGGUAAUACGUAGGGGGAAAGCGUUAUCCGGAGUUACUGGGUGUAAAGGGGGCGCAGACGGCGGUGCAAGCCAGGAGUGAAAGCCCGGGGCCGAACCCCGGGACUGCUCUUGGAACUGCGUGGCUAGAGUGCAGGAGGGGCAGGCGGAAUGCCUGGUGUAGCGGUGAAAUGCGUAGAUAUCAGGAGGAACACCGGUGGCGAAGGCGGCCUGCUGGACUGCAACUGACGUUGAGGCCCGAAAGCGUGGGGAGCAAACAGGAUUAGAUACCCCGGUAGUC
This 440-nucleotide ribosomal RNA is filed under the name uncultured bacterium. RNAcentral describes it as "partial 16S ribosomal RNA". It matches the Rfam family "Bacterial small subunit ribosomal RNA", at positions 338 to 795 of the family's 1533-position model. The record is from RNAcentral.